Molecule: ribosomal RNA, 303 nt
Filed under: uncultured bacterium
Lineage: Bacteria
Description: partial 16S ribosomal RNA
Rfam family: Bacterial small subunit ribosomal RNA
Source: RNAcentral
AGCAGUAGCCGCGGUAAUACGGAGGGUGCAAGCGUUAUCCGGAUUUAUUGGGUUUAAAGGGUCCGUAGGCGGACUUAUAAGUCAGUGGUGAAAGCCUGUCGCUUAACGAUAGAACUGCCAUUGAUACUGUAAGUCUUGAGUAUAUUUGAGGUAGCUGGAAUAAGUAGUGUAGCGGUGAAAUGCAUAGAUAUUACUUAGAACACCAAUUGCGAAGGCAGGUUACCAAGAUAUAACUGACGCUGAGGGACGAAAGCGUGGGUAGCGAACAGGAUUAGAUACCCGUGUAGUCCCUGUCUCUUAUAC